GUACGAGCCCAUUUUGCCCGGGCCCAUACCAACAAAAUAACUCAAAUAAUAAACCCAAAAGUAACAGCCCAUUUACAAACCCAAAAUCUGACCCAAAAUUUAAACCCAAACAAAUCAAAACCCUAAAGCCCAAAAGGCCCAAAAUCUAAAACAUUUUUCAGCAAAAUUUCAGCAGCAAACCCCAACUCUCCAUGCCACCAUGUCGGCCACCAUGCCCCUCAGCCUUGGCCACCACGCCCCACGCGUCUGACACUCCCACCAACUCCUCCAUGUGCUCCCACUUGUUGAUUUCCGUCACCUGCAGAAUAAGACAAAAAGAAAGCAAACACUAAGACAGAGGCAGACGGCAGGAAGCAAUGGCAAGAAAUUUAAAAUAUUGUAUUGAAAUGGCUAUAAAUGCCAGAUCUGAAUGUAAUAGGAGAGGGGGGGAUUUUUAUGUUUUUUUUGGAGAUUUCAAAGGGAAGAAUCGGUUGUAUUUUGGGGGGGUUUCUCUUUGUUUUUUUUUCGGCAUUUUAAUACAAAAAGCAGAGAAAAAUACAAAAAAAUGGGAAAUAAGGAACGAAAACAUAAAUCGGAAGGUGAUUUUGUUUUUUAUUUUUCUCUAUUAUCUUCUUAAAUCCAUUUUUUUCUUUUCUUCCUCAUUUCUAGCAUAUAUAUACACAUAUAAUCGAAAAAUUAAAAAAAACAAAAAAAUAAAUUUUUCGAUCGGCUUAGUAAAGGAGUCACGCCCAUCCCGGCAAUCUUAACAGAAACCUUCAGAUCUCUAAGCGCAUGUCGAAGAGCAGGGGAGGGAAGGUUCAUCGGAUGCGCACAGCUACUAUUGAUGUGGUUCCAUAGUCACUUUUGGAAGGUGGAAAAUGUCUCCUAUCGAGUCUUCUCAGAAGACUAUUCCCCAUUGAAGGAACAAGUUGCUACACCAAGACGAGACGACAUCACGGAAGAGAAGUGGAUGACGAUUCUCCAAAAUCUUCAGGAGGAUGACGUUGAAUGGAAAGCUCCUUGGAUGGUACCCGACGAGAUCCUGUAUCGAUGUGGGGAUUUCGACUGGGUCCCUUUACUCGAAAUUUGGGGAGCUGUCGGUUAUGCCCCUUUACUCGUAUUAAGACAAUAUAGAUCGAGACAGUUCAUACCAGCAACACAAGGGCUGGCUCAAUGUGAGUUUUCUUAUAAGGAUGAAAACUACAAGAGAAAAACUCGAGAAAUAUCUAACGCUUGGAAACAGGUUCACCGAAUGAAAAGAUUUACCGUAGGAGCGAUGACAACUUCCGAAUAUUAUGGGUGGUGGAGUAAAAAAGUCAAUGACAACAUCCCUAAGCCGAGGGAAGAUUGCGUUCAGUCUAUAGAGGAGCAUCUACAAGUAGUUCCGUCAGAAUUAGAGAUCAUCAAACGAGACUUUGAGAAAAGAAAUUCUGAGUUGGGAAAGAGGAUAGAACAGCUAGAAGAAGAAAGAGUGCAUUUGGGAUUAGACAUCGAUAUCCACAAGCUAGAAGCCGAGAAAUUAAGAAAGAGAAAGAACAAGGCUGAAGAGGAUUUGGAUAGUCUAAAAACAGAUUACAAGAAGCUGUGAUUGUCAAUGAGAACUGUCGGUUUGGGUAAAACGUCAGAGCAGUGGCGACAAGAGAUCAAUGAGGAAAAGAAUAGGGCCGAUCAGUGGGAAAAGAAAUUUCAAGAUGCUCGAGCUCGAGAAAACGCUUUGGAAAGGAGUUUGUUAGAAUGCCGAAAUAAGAAGGCAGGAUUAAAGGCCAAGGUGGCAGAGCUAGAAAAGUCACUUCACUCGUACCGUAGUCGCAACUCCAUGAUCGAAUUAAGAGCAAGCUUAAAUAAGAUCGAAGAACUGAAGGGAAAGGUAGAGGAGCUUGAGGACGCAUUACACAAUUCUGAGCUACGAAUGGAGCUUCUUGAGAGGAGUAAUGAUCAAUGGCAAGAGCAAUUCCAUCAUUCUCAAAGUCAGAUUAGAGAUAGAGAUUACGUUAUGGGCGAAACUGUGACUCAAGUGCGGGAAGUGGCUGAUCAUCUGCAAACAUUAGCAGUUCAGGCCGAUGUAUUGAGUUUAAGAUAUGAGUCAGAAUCAAGCCGAGGUCGAGAUUUAGCUUGGCUUCUUAGGAAGGUUAAGGCUUUGGGUAUAAAGGCGAAGCCGUAUAUGUAAUUUAUUUUAUGUAAAGAAAUUUGCUUUCUAGUUGAGUUUUCUAAUGAAAUUGAAUUCGAAUCAAUGCCUCUUUUUGCAUUCAUCUCAUACAUUUGCAUUACAUCAUAUGCAGUAAGUUUCAUAAAAUGACCCUAAUAAAAUUAAAUUAUGACAGUUACCCUGGAAACCAACAAAAAUCUAAUCAAAUAUCACUACGGUACUCGUCGCCAAACAAAAGCAAUGGAUCAAAGGUUGGAAAGAUUGGAACAGUUGCAACGAGAGAUGCAAUAUCAGAUGCAUGAACGACUGGAAAAAAUCCAGCAGGACAUGUUAGAAUCCCAGAACACUGUGAUGAACCAAUUAAAGCAGUUAUUGGCUGGAGGGAAUAACAAAGGAAAGGACCCCGUAGUUGAUGCUGGGAAGGAUCACGAUGACCCUGUUUAUCCUCCAGGUUUCACCCCAACUAACAUCCAAGCACAACCAGAGGUGUACCCACAGAGGGUACCAGUUACCAUUGGACCUCAAUAUCUGGCUGGUACCUCGGUACCAGUGCAUUUUCAAAUAGGCUCGGGUUCUAAUCCCGGGGAUAAUCCCACUAAUCCUGUGGUUCCGGAUCUCGAUGACGUGGCAGAAACAGAAAAAAUAAGAAUGAACCUGCCAAAACAACUGGAGGACCGAUGUAGAUGGUUAGAGGAAAAAUUUAGAGCCAUGGAGAACAUCGACUAUCAUCGCGGGGUUGACGCCAAGGAUCUGAGUUUGGUUCCUGAUUUAGUACUCCCACCUAAGUUCAAAAUGCCGGAAUUCGAAAAAUAUAAUGGGACUAGUUGUCCUGAAGCUCAUAUAACUAUGUUCUGUCGAAGAAUGACAGGAUACGUCAACAAUGAUCAGCUAUUAAUCCACUGCUUCCAGGACAGUUUGAUCGGAUCUGCAGCCAAAUGGUACAACCAACUGAGUCGUGCUAAAGUUAGUUCAUGGAGAGACUUGGCGUAAGCUUUUAUGAAGCAAUACAGUCAUGUAACAGAUAUAACGCCCAAUCGAAUUACGUUACAAAACAUGGAAAAAAAGCCUAGCGAGAAUUUUAGGCAAUACGCCCAACGAUGGAGAGAAGUGGCAACACAAGUCCAGCCACCCCUUUUGGAAAAAGAGGUCACCAUGUUGUUUAUCAACACUUUGAAAGCCCCGUUCAUCAACCACAUGUUGGGGAGUGCUACCAAGAGCUUCUCGGAUAUGGUAAUGUCCGAUGAAAUGAUUGAGAACGCGGUAAAGAGCGGUAAAAUUGACACGGGGGAAAACUUUAAAAGACCAGCCCCAAGGAAAAAAGAGGGCGAAGUAAACAACGUAAGCACAUAUAGCAAGAGCCAUUCAAAAUCGAUUACUGUUGGCCCUCCAAAAAUGAUGACCACUAGUCACCAAGCCCCCUCAAGGCAAGAACCCAACACAAGGCCCAACACAAGGACUAACACAGAGAGACUUCAAUUCACGCCCAUUCCAAUAACAUACGGGGAACUGUAUCAGAAGUUAUUUGAUGCACACAUAGCAUCUCCAUUUUAUCUAGAGCCCAUGCAACCUCCAUAUCCUAAAUGGUAUGACGCGAAUGCCCAAUGUGAAUACCAUGCAGGGAUACCAGGGCACUCAAUUGAGAACUGCACUGGGUUUAAAAAGGCGGUGGAAAGGUUCAUUAAGAUGGGGAUUGUGAAGUUUGACAACUCAUUAGGACCAAACAUAGCAGCGAAUCCGUUACCCAAUCAUGCUGAUAAAGGGGUAAACGCAAUAAUCGAAGGUGGGAGAAAGAGAAUCAAAGCCGACAUUGCAGAGAUAAAGACUCCAUUGAGUUGGGUUUGGAGAUAAAUGAUAGAAGGAGGUCUCAUCAAACAAGGUUCAAAGGAAAGGCCCGAAGGAACGAAGACGUACUGCGAGUUUCAUGCUGAAGAAGACCAUGACAUUCAAAACUGCACUAAAUUCAAGGCCAUGGUACAAAAUCUGAUGAACAACAAAGAGCUAGAAUUUUAUGAAGAGAUCAAAGGACUUGAAAAUGGAGAAGUUUAUGCCUCGAAGGAAGGGCCUACGGGAAAGGCCAAAAAUCACCCGGUGGUGAUUAUUUCAAGGCCAACAAACACAGGAUCUGGAAUACAACUGGCGCCAAGGGUCAUAAUCCAAAAACCUGUAGCCUUUCCUUACAAGGAUAGCAAAAAGGUUCCUUGGAAUUAUGACUGCAAUGUGAUGAUCACGGGAGAGGAGAACCUGAUAAAUGCUUCAGAAGAGGGUAAUGACGCAGGCUUCUAUACGCGUAGUGGAAAACGUUACGACCCGGGAAAUAUAAAAAGGAGGCCUAUAAAAGGAAAAGCCUUGGCGGUUGAACAAGAUAAAACGAAGAAGACCGAAAUUGAACCGCAUAUUAACACACCGGUGACUGAAAAUGAGGCUAGAGAAUUCCUAAAAUUCUUGAAGCAUAGCGAGUAUAGCAUGGUGGAACAACUGCAUAAGCAACCGGCUCGCAUCUCAGUGCUCGAGUUACUUCUAAGUUCAGAGAUACAUCAUAAUGCGUUAGUAAAAGUGCUAAAUGAGACUUAUGUCGCUAAAGAUAUCUCAGUGAACAAAUUGGAUGCCUGGUUAACAAUAUAAAUGCUGAUAACUUUAUCUUCUUCAACGAUGAUGAGAUCCCGCCAGGCGGUAUGGGAUCUACCAAGGCCUUACACAUUACUGCCCGUUGCAAGGGGUGUAUACUACCGGCGGUACUCGUUGACAAUGGAUCGGCCCUGAAUGUUUUACCCCUGUCCACAUUAAACAGGCUACCUGUGGAUAGUUCUCACAUGAAAUCAUGCCAAAAUAUAGUGAGAGCAUUUGAUGGCACUGAGAGAAAUGUGAUGGGAAGAAUCGAGAUACCUCUAUUGAUUGGUCCAAAUACAUACGAGCUGGACUUUUUGGUAAUGGAUAUUAAACCAUCUUACAAUUGCCUAUUGGGGAGGCCUUGGAUCCAUUCCGCAGGGGCUGUACCAUCGUCACUUCACCAAAAGUUAAAAUUGGUGAUAGAGGGUCGAUUGGUGACUAUAGGUGCAGAAGAAGACAUCAUUGCAUCAGUCACCGAUGAUAUGCCAUACAUAGAAGCUGAUAGUGAAGCGAUAGAGUGUUCAUUCCGAUCAUUGGAAUUCGUAAAUGCCACAUUUGUCAUCGAGAUGAGCAAAAUCCCAGAGCCUAAGAUAUCCAAAGCUACGUCAAUGAGCUUACAGCUAACGAUGGGAAAUGGAGCAUUGCCUGGAAGAGGAUUUGGAAAAUACCUCCAGAAAAGGGUUGAAGUACCGAUCCUAGUUAACAAACAGGACCGUUAUGGUUUGGGAUAUAAGCCUAAUGCGAGGGAAAGGAGGAAGGAGAUGGAGAAAAAGCAAGAAAGGAGAAGAGCACAUUUGGGCGGGAUAGAAGCCAAGUGGGGACCGAUAACCUUUCCCCAUAUAUCUAAGACUUUUGUUUCAGGGGGAAUUGUCCACCCUGAAGAGAAGGAUGAGGUUACAGAAGGAAGGAUUGAGAGGUUGGACAUCAAUGCCAUAUUCGCGGAAGAAAGGGUGGAAAGGAAUUUAUCGGGCAUUCGUUCUUACGAACCUGGAAGUGUUCUGAAUAACUGGACUGUAGAAGAGAUCCCUGUAACAUUUAGAACUAAUUCAGAGUAAUAUUCAGAACACUUGUUUCCCUAAGCCUGGGGGUGAUAAGAAUCUUUUGUAAAAGGCACAUGUCCAAAAUCUAAUUUCAGUGAAAACUUAUCAUUCAGUUUCAUCUUGAGCAAAUAUUCUUUCAUUCUUUUCAUUCCCUUUAUAACCAUACUAUGCAUACAAGUAUUCUUAGAUUCUUUUAUUUGGGCCUCCAUUUGUUCCAAUAACAGGUCUUCAGAUAUCAACGAGAUGAGCGACUCUGUUACUAAUUCAGAGUCUCUAUUUGAGCAAGACAUGAGUAUAGAUGAUCCUCAAGAUUUUGAAGGUGACCAAGACAGCGUUUUAUCUCCAGAUUUGUUAAGAAUGAUGGAAGAAGAAGAAAAACAAAUUCUACCCUAUAAGGAAUCAGUAGAAGUUGUGAUCUUAGAAGAGGGCAGAGAGGUAAAAAUUGGCGCUUGCAUUGCCAAGGAAACAAGGCAAGACCUUGUUGAGUUGCUUCAAGAAUUUAAAGAUGUCUUCGCGUGGUCCUACCAAGAUAUGCCAGGGUUAAGUACUGAUAUCGUGGUACACCGAUUGCCUAUAAAGGAAGAAUGCAAACCAGUCCAACAAAAGCUCCGAAGGAUGAGGCCUGAUGUCUUGCUAAAAAUAAAGGAAGAAGUUAAGAAGCAAUUUGAUGCUGGUUUCUUACAGGUGGUCAAGUACUCAGAAUGGGUAGCCAAUAUAGUCCCUGUUCCUAAGAAAGAUGGGAAGGUGCGAAUGUGUGUGGACUACAGAGACUUGAACAAAGCCAGCCCAAAAGAUAAUUUCUCACUGCCUCAUAUCGAUACCUUGGUAGACAACACGGCCGGAUACUCACUGUUCUCUUUCAUGGAUGGUUUCUCCGGGUACAACCAAAUUAAGAUGCUUUCUGAAGACAGGGAGAAGACCACAUUCAUAACGAUGUGGGGGACGUUUUGUUAUAAAGUGAUGCCUUUUGGAUUGAAAAAUGCGGGAGCAACGUAUCAGAGAGCCAUGGUAGCAUUAUUCCAUGAUAUGAUGCAUAAAGAGAUAGAAAUUUAUGUUGAUGACAUGAUCGCAAAAUCCAGAACAGAAGGGGAACACGUGCAAGUUCUGAGAAAACUGUUUCUAAGGUUAAGGAAGUUCCAGUUAAAACUUAACCCAGCCAAGUGUACUUUCGGGGCUAGAUCAGGAAAAUUGCUAGGAUUCUUAGUCAGCGAAAAAGGAAUUGAAAUUGACCCAGACAAAGUUAAGGCCAUACAAGAAUUACCUCCGCCAAGUACUCAAAAAGAAGUUCAGGGUUUUCUAGGAAGACUAAAUUACAUCGCUCGAUUCAUUUCACAAUUAACUAAGAAAUGUGACCCCAUAUUCUGUCUUCUUAAGAAACACAAUCCAGGUGUAUGGGAUAAGGAGUACUAGAAAACUUUCGAAAAAGUUAAACAUUACUUGUCCAACGCCCCAGUACUGAUGCCACCUUGCCCUGACAAGCCACUAAUACUAUACUUGGCAGUAUUUGAGAAUUCCAUGGGGGGCGUGCUCGGCCAACAUGAUGAGUCAGGACGAAAAGAAAGAGCGAUCUAUUAUCUCAGUAAGAAGUUCACUGAAUGCGAAACGAGAUAUUCGCCAAUUGAAAAAUUAUGUUGCGCAUUGGUUUGGACUACUCGGAGAUUGAGACAAUACAUGUUGUACCAUACGACUUGGUUAAUCUCAAAGUUAGACCCUCUGAAAUACAUGAUGGAGUCAACUACUCUAAACGGAAGGAUGGCCCGAUGGUAAAUUCUACUAUCUGAAUUUGACAUAACCUAUGUGAAUCAAAAGGCUGUAAAAGGGAGUGUGACAGCAGAUUUUCUAGCAAGUAGAGCCCUGGACGAUUAUGAGCCUUUGAACUUUGAUUUCCCAAAUGAGGAUCUGAUGUAUGUGGCAACUACUGAAGCAAGCACACAAGAAGGCAAUACUUGGAAAUUAAAUUUUGACGGAGCCUCAAAUGCCAUGGGCAACGGGAUUGGGGCAGUCUUGGUAUCUCCAAACGGUGAUCAUUAUCCUUUCACCAGUAAACUAGAUUUUGAUUACACAAAUAACAUGGCGGAAUAUGAAGCAUGUAUCAUGGGAAUCCGCGCGGCUAUGGAACGCAAAAUUAAGGUACUUGAGGUAUAUGGGGAUUCGGCAUUGGUAAUUUAUCAGCUCAAAGGCGAAUGGGAAACAAGAGACCCUAAGUUGAUUAGUUACCGAAGGAUAGUCCUAGAAUUGAUUGAGGAGUUUGACGACAUCACUUUUUGUUAUCUCCCACGAGACGAGAAUCAGAUGGCCGACGCUUUAGCUACAUUGGCUUCCAUGAUCAAAGUAAAUAGACCAGAGGAUGUGAAGCCUAUCUAAAUGAGCAUUUAUGAUGCUCCAGCCCACUGUUGUAACAUUGACGAAGAAGAAGAAAAGGACGACAACCCUUGGUAUCAGGAUAUAUUGCGAUACGUAAAAAAUCGUGAAUAUCCAAACCAAGCAACUGAGAAUGACAAGAGAAUGUUGAGGAGGCUGGCCAGUGAUUACGUCUUAGAUGGAGAGAUCCUGUACAAAAGAGGAAAAGAUCAGGUGCUGUUAAGAUGUGUGGACGCUGUGGAGGCCAAACAGAUCUUGAAAGAAGUCCAUGAUGGUAUUUGUGGAACACACGCUAAUGGUUUCACAAUGGCCAGACAAAUCAUGAGAUUUGGAUAUUAUUGGUCUACCAUGGAAGGAGACUGCAUCAAAUAUGCUAAGAAGUGCCAUAAAUGUCAGAUUUACGAAGACAAAAUCCAUGUGCCUCCAUCACCUCUUCACGUCAUGACUUCCCCAUGGCCUUUCUCCAUGUGGGGCAUGGACGUCAUUCGGCCGAUAUCGCCAAAGGCUUCAAACAGACAUCGUUUCAUUUUUGUAGUGAUUGACUACUUUACUAAGUGGGUAGAGGCUACUUCUUAUACCAACGUCACAAAGGCAGCUGUCAGCAAGUUUUUAAAAAAGAAAAUCAUAUGUCGGUAUGGAAUGCCCGAAAGGAUUAUAUCUGACAACGUAUUAAAUUUGAAUAAUAGCACGAUAGCAGAAGUUUGUAGUCAAUUCAAGAUCAAGCACCACAACUCAUCGCCAUAUCGUCCGAAGAUGAAUGGUGCGGUGGAGGCAGCCAAUAAAAAUAUCAAAAAGAUUGUGGGGAAAAUGACUGAGACCUAUAGAGAUUGGCACGAGAAGUUGCCAUUCGCCCUCUAUGCUUAUCGAACGUCCGUCAGGACUUCUACCGGGGCAACACCAUUCUCUUUGGUUUAUGGAAUGGAGGCAGUGCUACCAAUUGAGGUUGAAAUUUCCUCUCUCCGAGUUUUUUCAGAACUAAAGUUAGACGAAGCAGAAUGGGUCCAAUCCCGAUAUGAUCAGCUAAACUUGAUUGAAGAAAGGAGGUUAAGAGCUAUCCGUCAUGGUCAAAUGUACCAGAAACGAAUGAUGCGAGCUUACAAUAAGAAAGUUCGUCCUAGAAACUUCCAUGAAGGGGACUUGGUACUGAAGAAGAUCCUUCCCAUACAAAAAGACUUCAGAGGAAAGUGGAUGCCAAACUGGGAGGGACCUUAUGUAGUAAAAAAGGCCUUUUCAGGAGGGGCAUUAAUUUUAACUGGGAUGGAUAGCAAAAGCUUGCCCAAUCCUGUGAAUUCAGAUUCAGUGAAGAGGUACUUUGCCUAAAAAAAAAGGAGAGGCCAAGGCGAAAACCCGCAAAGGGCACCUUGAGACCAAAGGGGUUUUGAAUUGAAAACCCUGGAAUGGGCAAUUCAAAUUUUCGAUCAAAGAUGAGGCAUAGAGUAGUUUUGUCUUCUCCGAAUUAACAAGAAGGAAAGAUGCUACAUCUUGGGGCAUCAACAAAGCCUUCUAGGACUUCUAAACACAUAUCAAGUUCAAAAGGGUCCUUAAGAAGUUUGGGGCAGAGAAGCUCAUGCUACGAUAUCUGGGGCACCUAUUUCCAUUUUAUUCAUUUUUUGUAUUUUUGACAAAAUACAUCAUCUUGAUUAAUUUAUUCUCGUUUUGUAUUCUAGCAACAUUUGCUAUCUUGAUUAAUUUGUUCAUUUAGAGCUUUGCUCUCAGCAAAUUUUCAUCUUAUCCGUUGUGAUAAUCUUUUUUCAUCUUAUUCAUCUCGUAUCUCAGCAAAAUUUGCUAUCUUGAUUUGUUUGUUUAGAGCUUUGCUCUCAACAAAAUUUCAUUUGUCCAUUUUGAUAAUCUUUUUCAAGCAUUUUUCAUUGAAAUAACGAUUAAUGGACUGACAAUACACAUGCAGAAGGAGUUCUGCAUAUUACUCUGAAAGUUUCUAAAUAAUACGAGGACCUGAAACAGGACUAUUGUUUAGAACUAACCAAACCUAAGGGUUGGAAACAUUUGAGAAAUGAUAGUCUAAAUAGCGUCUAUUUCUUUAGGUUUUCUGUCAAAGGUACUGGCUGAACAAGAAGGCAUCAGUGAUAGAACCUUGAUGAACAAUGAGGAAUGACAACCUAAGCAUUAAAAAUGGAUCAUUCUCAUGACAUUCUACAAAUAUAAUACAUACACAUCUAGUUAGGAGCAUUUGAUUCAUUCUGAUCAUGUCAUCCUAAACACUAGGCGUAAAUAGGUCCUAUCUUCCUAUAUUGGUAGGAAGUGGAUCAAAGAUGCAGAUCUUGUCUUCCCACAUUGGUGGCGAAGUAGAUCGAAGAAAGCAGAUCUUGUCUUCAUGUAUUGGCGUGAAGUAGAUCGAAGGUAGCAGAUCCUAUCUUCUUAUAUUGGUAGGAAGUGGAUCGAAGAUGCAGAUCUUGUCUUUCCAUAUUGGUGGCGAAGUAGAUCGCAGAAAGCAGAUCUUCUCUUCAUGUAUUGGCGUGAAGUAGAUCGAAGGUAGCAGAUCCUAUCUUCCUAUAUUGGUAGGAAGUGGAUCGAAGAUGCAGAUCUUGUCUUCCCAUAUUGGUGGCGAAGUAGAUCGCAGAAAGCAGAUCUUGUCUUCAUGUAUUGGCGUGAAGUAGAUCGAAGGUAGCAGAUCCUAUCUUCCUAUAUUGGUAGGAAGUGGAUCGAAGAUGCAGAUCUUGUCUUCCCAUAUUGGUGGCGAAGUAGAUCGCAGAAAGCAGAUCUUGUCUUCAUGUAUUGGCGUGAAGUAGAUCGAAUGUAGCAGAUUCUAUCUUCCUAUAUUGGUAGGAAAUGGAUCGAAGAUGCAGAUCUUGUCUUCCCAUAUUGGUGGCGAAGUAGAUCGCAGAAAGCAGAUCUUGUCUUCAUGUAUUGGCGUGAAGUAGAUCGAAGAUAGCAGGUCCUAUCUUCCUAUAUUGAUAGGAAGUGGAUCCAAGAUACAGAUCUUGUCUUCCCAUACUGGUGGUGAAGUAGAUCGAAGAAAGCAGAUCUUGUCCCUGUAUUUGGCAGUGGAAUAGAUUGAGGAUUGCAUAUCUUGCCUUCCUGUAUUUGGCAGCGAAGCAGAUCGACGAUGGCAGAUUUUACCUCCCUGACUACAGUGGAGUACAUUGAAGCCGAUAACUCUAUCUCCCUGCAUUCAACAGUGGAAUAGAGUGAAGAUUACAGAUCUUAUUCCCCUAAGCAGUAGUGGAGCAGACUAAAAACACAAAUCUCAUCCCCAUGGAGUCGUAACAAAGUAGAUUGAAGCUACAAGGCGUAUCUGAAGUUGCCGUGAAGUGGAUCAAGGCAAGAAUACGCAGUAGACUGAAAUGAGGUUACUUGAAGAAGAUAAGCACCAUAAAAUCAAGACUCGGUGAGACAGGGAAAAAUUGGCCUUCUUAGUCUUUGCUCUGUUCUCGUUACACGACAACAAGCAAAGAGGGGCAGCUGUACGAGCCCAUUUUGCCCGGGCCCAUACCAACAAAAUAACUCAAAUAAUAAACCCAAAAGUAACAGCCCAUUUACAAACCCAAAAUCUAACCCAAAAUUUAAACCCAAACAAAUCAAAACCCUAAAGCCCAAAAGGCCCAAAAUCUAAAACAUUUUUCAGCAAAAUUUCAGCAGCAAACCCCAGCUCUCCAUGCCACCAUGUCGGCCACCAUGCCCCUCAGCCUUGGCCACCACGCCCCACGCGUCUGACACUCCCACCAACUCCUCCAUGUGCGCCCACUUGUUGAUUUCCGUCACCUGCAGAAUAAGACAAAAAGAAAGCAAACACUAAGACAGAGGCAGACGGCAGGAAGCAAUGGCAAGAAAUUUAAAAUAUUGUAUUGCAACGGCUAUAAAUGCCAGAUCUGAAUGUAAUAGGAGAGGGGGGUUUUUAUGUUUUUUUUUUGAGAUUUCAAAGGGAAGGAUCGGUUGUAUUUUGGGGGGGUUUCUCUUUGUUUUUUUUUCGGCAUUUUAAUACAAAAAGCAGAGAAAAAUACAAAAAAAGGGGAAACAAGGAACGAAAACAUAAAUCGGAAGGUGAUUUUGUUUUUUAUUUUUCUCUAUUAUCUUCUUAAAUCCAUUUUUUUCUUUUCUUCCUCAUUUCUAGCAUAUAUAUACACAUACAAUCGAAAAAUUAAAAAAAAAAACAAAAAAAUAAAUUUUUUACCUUUUCCGGCCACCGCACGCGGUGGCCGGCGCCGGCGCCGGCGAGCCUCCGGUGGCCGUCCGGUGACCGGCCCCCUGGCCGGAUUCCCCUUCCCCCCUCCCUUCUCUCUUCCCUCUCUCUUCUUUUUUUUU
This 12393-nucleotide long non-coding RNA is filed under the name Gossypium barbadense (sea-island cotton). RNAcentral's name for it is "long non-coding RNA (GBAR_LNC002748)". The record is from RNAcentral. Lineage: Eukaryota; Viridiplantae; Streptophyta; Magnoliopsida; Malvales; Malvaceae.